RNAcentral lists this ribosomal RNA (448 nucleotides) under uncultured bacterium. RNAcentral describes it as "bacterial SSU rRNA". It matches the Rfam family "Bacterial small subunit ribosomal RNA", at positions 329 to 793 of the family's 1533-position model. The record is from RNAcentral.
UUCCAGACUCCUACGGGAGGCAGCAGUGGGGAAUAUUGCACAAUGGGGGAAACCCUGAUGCAGCGACGCCGCGUGGGCGACGAAGCGCUCCGGCGCGUAAAGCCCUGUCAGCAGGGAAGAACAAAGACAGUACCUGACCAAGAAGCCCCGGCUAACUACGUGCCAGCAGCCGCGGUAAUACGUAGGGGGCAAGCGUUAUCCGGAUUCACUGGGCGUAAAGGGAGCGUAGACGGUCCUGCAAGCCAGAUGUGAAAGCCCGGGGCUCAACCCCGGGACUGCAUUUGGAACUGUAAGGCUAGAGUGUCGGAGAGGCAGGCGGAAUUCCUAGUGUAGCGGUGAAAUGCGUAGAUAUUAGGAGGAACACCAGUGGCGAAGGCGGCCUGCUGGACGAUGACUGACGUUGAGGCUCGAAAGCGUGGGGAGCAAACAGGAUUAGAUACCCCGGUAA